GAGUUUGAUCCUGGCCAGGAUGAACGCUAGCGGCAGGCUUAAUACAUGCAAGUCGUGGGGCAGCAGGGGUAGCAAUACUCGCUGGCGACCGGCAAACGGGUGCGCAAUACGUACGCAACCUUCCUUUAAGCGGGGAAUAGCCCAGGGAAACUUGGAUUAAUACCCCAUAAUAUGAUGAAAGGGCAUCCUUUUAUUAUUAAAGCUCCGGCACUUAAAGAUGGGCGUACGGCUGAUUAGGUAGUUGGCGGGGUAACGGCCCACCAAGCCUACGAUCAGUAGCUGAUGUGAGAGCAUGAUCAGCCACACGGGCACUGAGACACGGGCCCGACUCCUACGGGAGGCAGCAGUAAGGAAUAUUGGUCAAUGGACGCAAGUCUGAACCAGCCAUGCCGCGUGGAGGAUGAAGGUCCUCUGGAUUGUAAACUUCUUUUAUCUGGGACGAAACACUUCUUUGCUAAGAGGCCUGACGGUACCAGAUGAAUAAGCACCGGCGGACUCCGUGCCAGCAGCGCGGUAA
This 517-nucleotide ribosomal RNA is filed under the name uncultured Bacteroidota bacterium. RNAcentral describes it as "bacterial SSU rRNA". It matches the Rfam family "Bacterial small subunit ribosomal RNA", at positions 9 to 523 of the family's 1533-position model. Lineage: Bacteria; Pseudomonadati; Bacteroidota. The record is from RNAcentral.